GGGUGAUUAGCUCAGCUGGGAGAGCACCUCCCUUACAAGGAGGGGGUCGGCGGUUCGAUCCCGUCAGCAACGGCCCG
This 77-nucleotide transfer RNA is filed under the name Escherichia coli. Its description in RNAcentral is "tRNA-Val". It matches the Rfam family "tRNA". From Rfam's summary of the family: Transfer RNA (tRNA) molecules are approximately 80 nucleotides in length. Lineage: Bacteria; Pseudomonadati; Pseudomonadota; Gammaproteobacteria; Enterobacterales; Enterobacteriaceae. The record is from RNAcentral.